CCACACCACUGCCAGGCUGACGCUCAGAGUUGGGAGGAGAAAGUGAAAAAACAGAGCGAAGGAAAGAGAGAAAGGAAUGCUAGAGAAAAUAGGCAAGCCUUUUUAUGUUUAGUCGUAAACCAAGCCUCACUCUGGUUGGCCCGUUGGUUUCCAACAUGUUGAGUUGUUGAGUCAGACAGAGGGAAUAGAACCUGUGUAUCCCAACUACUGAUCCACUUUCCUGCUUCCCGGAGUAACCACAGCCUUCUACACACACUUCUAGCGUUCGCCACAGAAAGAAGUUAUAGAAGCUAUUGUGUGACCUUCUGUAUUUAGUCUGACAGGCCACGACAGAAGAGCCCCAGGCACCGGCUGGACCAUUCUCAGGCAGAGCAGAGUGGAACGAGGGAGAAAUCUGGCGGAGGGGUUCCCUGGACGCUGCCGUCUGCAAGAGGCCACUGCCGCAUUCCGACCGGGCUACGCCAAGAAAGAGAGGGAGAGGGGAAGAGAGGGAGAGGGAGACAGAGAGGGAGAGGGGAAGAGAGGGAGAGGGAGACAGAGAGGGAGACAGAGAGGGGGGGAUAAGAGCAUCUGCUAAAUGACUAAAAUGUCAAAGUCUUACAUACAGAUCUCAUAUUACUUUAUUGAACCAUUUUCCCCAACAUGUUAUCUUUAUAUUGAUGUCACAAAUGUACCAUUUGUACAGUUCUUUAUUAAAAAUGUCAUUAUUUGUUACAUUUCACUGUUCAAAACGACUUAUUUCUCUGAAAGGGAGGCGGAUAUAUAGCAUUUUGAAAUAAACAUGAUUAUGACUAUUUUUCUCUCCGAAUUGAAAUGUAAUAUAUUUUAAACAAAUACAAUGUCUCAUUGAACAAACCCGUGUGAAAAAGCAUGUCUCUUUCAUAAUUUCUUUCAACAAUAAAAGCUCAUUUACCAUCA
Molecule: long non-coding RNA, 918 nt
Organism: Oncorhynchus nerka (sockeye salmon)
Lineage: Eukaryota; Metazoa; Chordata; Actinopteri; Salmoniformes; Salmonidae
Exons: 3
Source: RefSeq, a predicted model, not a curated record